GGCAUUGGAAGUACCUGUGCUUCAGUAAGAUUUUAGCAAUCUUAGUGCAGAUUGGAUUCACGUAUCCUCUGCUGGGGCACUCAAUGUAUUAGAUCAGUCUGCGUAUGUCUGCUUCUUAGCCAGGAGCCUAUUGAACAGUUACGGGGGGAUAGUUGCUCCUACCGCUAG
Lolium perenne is the source of this 168-nucleotide long non-coding RNA. RefSeq lists it as uncharacterized. The record is from RefSeq and is a predicted model, not a curated record. NCBI's taxonomy places the organism in Eukaryota, Viridiplantae, Streptophyta, Magnoliopsida, Poales, Poaceae.